Molecule: ribosomal RNA, 683 nt
Filed under: Firmicutes bacterium enrichment culture clone 16695 ECW 6
Lineage: Bacteria; Bacillati; Bacillota
Description: bacterial SSU rRNA
Rfam family: Bacterial small subunit ribosomal RNA
Source: RNAcentral
GGACUGACCCCUUCCGUGCCGGAGUUAACACAAUAAGUAAUCCGCUGGGGAGUACGACCGCAAGGUUGAAACUCAAAGAAAUUGACGGGGGCCCGCACAAGCAGUGGAGUAUGUGGUUUAAUUCGAAGCAACGCGAAGAACCUUACCAGGUCUUGACAUCGAGUGAAGAACAUAGAGAUAUGUUCGUCCUUCGGGACACAAAGACAGGUGGUGCAUGGUUGUCGUCAGCUCGUGUCGUGAGAUGUUGGGUUAAGUCCCGCAACGAGCGCAACCCUUACCAUUAGUUGCUACAUUCAGUUGAGCACUCUAAUGGGACUGCCGUUGACAAAACGGAGGAAGGUGGGGACGACGUCAAAUCAUCAUGCCCCUUAUGACCUGGGCUACACACGUACCACAAUGGCAAUAAACAAUGGGCAGCAACACAGCGAUGUGAAGCGAAUCUCCAAACAUUGCCUCAGUUCGGAUUGUAGGCUGCAACUCGCCUACAUGAAGUCGGAAUUGCUAGUAAUCGUGGAUCAGAAUGCCACGGUGAAUACGUUCCCGGGCCUUGUACACACCGCCCGUCACACCAUGAGAGUCGGUAACACCCGAAGCCAGUAGCCUAACCGUAAGGAGGGCGCUGUCGAAGGUGGGAUUGAUGAUUGGGGUGAAGUCGUAACAAGGUAGAGCUCUCAGUCAGUCAA